This 540-nucleotide long non-coding RNA is filed under the name Mytilus galloprovincialis (Mediterranean mussel). The record is from RNAcentral. Lineage: Eukaryota; Metazoa; Mollusca; Bivalvia; Mytilida; Mytilidae.
GGUCCACAUAAUCUCCCUGCAAAAUGAAACAAAAUGUCGUUUUAAAAAAUAGGGGUCCAUGCACUCGUUUUCAAAUUAAAUCAGUUUGAAUGAUAAAAAAUAGUCGAAAAUGCAUCUUUUCCCGAUAUGUUGACGUUGCAAAAAUAACAUUUUACGUUAGCAACGUCAUUACCUCCCCUGUAACUGUAUCAUAUGCCCUUAAUGCUGUAUGAUUGGAACAGGACUGUACAUAGCAAAUGCAAUAAUACGUACGAAGCUUUAAAUAUCAUUGCAGAGUUAUGGCCUAACAUUCAGCGUAAUCUCCUUUUCUAUAUAUUGUUUAACUACAUCUCCCAUGUCAUGUAUUCCAUCUGAUAUGCCUAAAGCAAAUUUUUUUAACUACAUCUCCCAUGUCAUGUACUCCAUCUGAUAUGCCUAAAGCAAAUUUUAUUUAGUUUAAGCAAUUGUACAUUAUACUACUCGCAUAUAAGCUUGAAAUCUUUUUGCUGAAUUUUCAUAUGAUUUUUCUCUCUUAUGUUUUUGAUUAUCACUACAGACAGG